RNAcentral lists this long non-coding RNA (551 nucleotides) under Daucus carota (carrot). RNAcentral describes it as "long non-coding RNA (DCAR_LNC000160)". Lineage: Eukaryota; Viridiplantae; Streptophyta; Magnoliopsida; Apiales; Apiaceae. The record is from RNAcentral.
AAAAAAAAAAAAAAAUAGUGAAUAAAAUAGAAGGGUGUGGACAUUCUUUGGGACCUUGGCUUUUAGUUGGACUUGAGUGACGGGGUGUUAGUUUUGAACUUUUACGAUUCUUGAUUAGGAUUCUGUGGGAGUAGUAGUUUUUUAUUAGUUUUAAACUUUUACGAUUCUUGAUUAGGAUUCUGUGGGAGUAGUAGUUUUUGUCUUGUCUCAAUAAAAGAGCAUGCUUGCACACACUGGCACUCCACACUUGUAAAUAGAAAAGUAAUUGACUUGGUAGCGAGAGAGAUGAAAUUCAAGAACAUUAGCACAAUCUGAGGUAUUAUAAUUGACAAGGCAAUUACUUCAUAGUUCACUCAUUCAUCAUGUAGUUGCAUUCAUGCAUUGCAUUGUAUUAUUGUAUAGUGUCGUUGACGCUUGAGGACAAGCAUCAGUUUAAGUUUGGGGGUGUGAUAAGUGGUAUUUAUACACACUUAUAGGCCUUCAUUUCCACUUAAAUUGGUUGGUUGUACUUAAGUGUUUAGUGUCUUUUGAUGUGUUUUUAGUGUUUUUCU